Caenorhabditis elegans is the source of this 150-nucleotide non-coding RNA. The record is from Ensembl. Lineage: Eukaryota; Metazoa; Nematoda; Chromadorea; Rhabditida; Rhabditidae.
GGUUAGUAAUGUUUUCUUCAUUCGAACUGUAUUUUGUGGAGAGUACGGUACUUGAAACUUACAAAAAUUAUAAAAUCCGAUCUGUAAACCUUUUAAUUGUGGAAUAAUGGAAAAACGAAAAACAACGGUUUUAUAAUAAAAAUAAAUAUC